RNAcentral lists this ribosomal RNA (488 nucleotides) under Tomocerus violaceus. RNAcentral describes it as "partial large subunit ribosomal RNA". The stretch from base 352 to 488 matches the Rfam family "Bacterial large subunit ribosomal RNA", at positions 2473 to 2610 of the family's 2925-position model. Lineage: Eukaryota; Metazoa; Arthropoda; Collembola; Entomobryomorpha; Tomoceridae. The record is from RNAcentral.
ACAUUUCUUUUAGAUUAAUUAAAAAGUAAAGUCUGCCCACUGUUUAAAAUAAAGGGCCGCGGUAUUUUGACCGUGCAAAGGUAGCAUAAUCAUUAGUCUCUUAAUUAGGGAAUGGAAUGAAUGGCUAAAUGAUUUUUUUCUUUUAUUAUUUUUGUUUUAAAAUUUUGAUUUUAAGUGAAAAUACUUAAAUGUAAUUAAAAGACGAUAAGACCCUAUAGAAUUUUAUUGGUUUGUAUUAUUUUAUUAUUUAACUAGUUUAAUUGGGGCAUUUUUAGAAUAAAUUAAAUUUCUUUAAUUUAAAAAAAAAUUAAAAUUAUCUUUAUUAAUAAAUUUUUAAAAAAUUACCUUAGGGAUAACAGCGUUAUUAAUUUUGAGAGUUCAUAUCGACAAAUUAGUUUGCGACCUCGAUGUUGAAUUAAAAUGUCUAAAUGGAGCAAAAUUUAUUUAAGAUAGUCUGUUCGACUAAAAGUUUUUUACAUGAUUUGAGU